AUGAUCCUUCUCCGUGGUCAAGUUGAUGCAGAUGGGAUGAAAAAAUUCAUACUGAAGCGAAGCCGGACCCUUUUACCUAUCAUGAUUCUGUCGGCAGGCUGGUGGACAUGCAGCAGGACAAGCUUGGGAUCACCGGCGAAGAGGUUCCGAGCUGCCCAGACGAGGUUGGAUCUGCUGUCUUUGAUGUCCUUACCGACGGCGACAUACAGCUUCCCUCCGCCGUCAUCAUCAUCAGCAUCGUGCAAGAUGGCGGCCUCUUCGUCGAUCUCUCUGAGGCUGGCGCUCCUGUUAGCCCCGCUGGCACUGGACGACGACGACCGCCCGCUCCCUCCACGCGUGAACAUCCUCUCCACCACCUCGGACUGCGGCGACCGAGGGGAGAAGGCCGGCAAUGGUGACGAUGACGGCGAAGGGAGAGAAGCGCGGGCUCUGCUGACCAUGGCCAUGUGGAACCACCAACAGUUAGCUACCACCAGAGAAGAGAAGAACCAGCUAGCAACCUCUCAGAGUGCAGAGAAGAUAAGUGAAAAAGUGCAUAUGCAAUCUCCCAAGAGAAGAGAAAACAAAAGUGAAAAAGUGCAUACCCUUAGCCUUUGA
RNAcentral lists this ribosomal RNA (597 nucleotides) under Triticum aestivum (bread wheat). RNAcentral describes it as "partial small subunit ribosomal RNA". Lineage: Eukaryota; Viridiplantae; Streptophyta; Magnoliopsida; Poales; Poaceae. The record is from RNAcentral.